GAAGGGAGGCCCCUCGAAGCCGGCCGUCAGGGGCAGGCUUCAAACCACUGCAAGCUGCGACGGUAAAGAGCCGUGGUGGUGAGCGUUGUAGAAAAGGCGGGCUUCGAGCCCGUCAGGU
RNAcentral lists this non-coding RNA (118 nucleotides) under Shimia aestuarii. Lineage: Bacteria; Pseudomonadati; Pseudomonadota; Alphaproteobacteria; Rhodobacterales; Roseobacteraceae. The record is from RNAcentral.